RNAcentral lists this ribosomal RNA (732 nucleotides) under uncultured bacterium. RNAcentral's name for it is "bacterial SSU rRNA". It matches the Rfam family "Bacterial small subunit ribosomal RNA", at positions 771 to 1501 of the family's 1533-position model. The record is from RNAcentral.
AACAGGAUUAGAUACCCUGGUAGUCCACGCCCUAAACGAUGUCUACUAGUUGUUGGUGGAGUAAAAUCCAUGAGUAACGCAGCUAACGCGUGAAGUAGACCGCCUGGGGAGUACGGUCGCAAGAUUAAAACUCAAAUGAAUUGACGGGGGCCCGCACAAGCGGUGGAUUAUGUGGAUUAAUUCGAUGCAACGCGAAAAACCUUACCUGGCCUUGACAUGUAACGAACUUUCCAGAGAUGGAUUGGUGCUCGAAAGAGAACGUUAACACAGGUGCUGCAUGGCUGUCGUCAGCUCGUGUCGUGAGAUGUUGGGUUAAGUCCCGCAACGAGCGCAACCCUUGCCAAUAAUUGCCAUCAUUUAGUUGGGCACUUUAUUGGGACUGCCGAUGACAAAUCGGAGGAAGGUGGGGAUGACGUCAAGUCCUCAUGGCCCUUAUGGCCAGGGCUUCACACGUAAUACAAUGGUCGGUACAGAGGGUUGCCAAGCCGCAAGGUGGAGCCAAUCCCAGAAAGCCGAUCGUAGUCCGGAUUGAGGUCUGCAACUCGACCUCAUGAAGUCGGAAUCGCUAGUAAUCGCGGAUCAGCAUGUCGCGGUGAAUACGUUCCCGGGCCUUGUACACACCGCCCGUCACACCAUGGGAGUGGGUUUUACCAGAAGUAGGUAGUCUAACCGCAAGGAGGACGCUUACCACGGUAGUAUUCAUGACUGGGGUGAAGUCGUAACAAGGUAACC